Molecule: ribosomal RNA, 131 nt
Filed under: Blepharisma stoltei
Lineage: Eukaryota; Ciliophora; Heterotrichea; Heterotrichida; Blepharismidae
Source: RNAcentral
AAGUACCUUCUGAGAAAUCAAAUUCUUUAGGUUCUGGGGAGUAUUAUCGCAAAACUUAAACUUAAAGGAAUUGACGGAAGGGCGGCACAUAUGUUAAACAGUAACGCAGGUGUCCUAUGGCAAAAUCAAAG